Molecule: ribosomal RNA, 877 nt
Filed under: uncultured eukaryote
Lineage: Eukaryota
Description: SSU rRNA
Rfam family: Eukaryotic small subunit ribosomal RNA
Source: RNAcentral
CGGUGUUCAACUGGCGUGUCCGCGGGACGUCCUGCCGGUGGGCUUAGCCCGCAAGGGCGGCCCAACUUCAAAUCCCAUCGCGGUGCUCUUCACUGAGUGUCGAGGUGGGCCGGCACGUUUACUUUGAACAAAUUAGAGUGCUUAAAGCAGGCUAAAACUUCGCCUGAAUACUGUGUGCAUGGAAUAAUGGAAUAGGACCUCGGUUCUAUUUUGUUGGUUUUCGGAACCCCGAGGUAAUGAUUAAUAGGAACGGAUGGGGGCAUUCGUAUUGCGACGUUAGAGGUGAAAUUCUUGGAUCGUCGCAAGACGGACAGAAGCGAAAGCAUUUGCCAAAAACGCUUUCAUUGAUCAAGAACGAAAGUUAGAGGUUCGAAGGCGAUCAGAUACCGCCCUAGUUCUAACCAUAAACGAUGCCAGCUAGCGAUCCGUCGACGUUCCUCCGAUGACUCGACGGGCAGCUUCCGGGAAACCAAGGCUUUUGGGUUCCGGGGGAAGCAUGAUUGCAAAGCUGAAACUUAAAGGAAUUGACGGAAGGGCACCACCAGGAGUGGAGCCUGCGGCUUAAUUUGACUCAACACGGGAAACCUCACCAGGCCCGGACACCGGAAGGAUUGACAGAUUGAGAGCUCUUUCUUGAUUCGGUGGGUGGUGGUGCAUGGCCGUUCUUAGUUGGUGGAGCGAUUUGUCUGGUUAAUUCCGAUAACGAACGAGACUCUAGCCUGCUAACUAGGCGUAUUUUCGACAUCUCAAAGGUCCGUCGUCCCGGCCCUCGGGUCGUGGGCGUGCGCGAUUUUUACUGUCGGCGUACUAUCAAUUCUUCUUAGAGGGACAGGUGGCUUCUAGCCGCACGAGAUUGAGCAAUAACAGGUCUGUGAUG